GCCUACGGGAGGCAGCAGUGGGGAAUAUUGCACAAUGGGGGGAACCCUGAUGCAGCGACGCCGCGUGGGUGAAGGAGUAUUUCGGUAUGUAAAGCCCUAUCAGCAGGGAAGAACAAUGACGGUACCUGACUAAGAAGCACCGGCUAAAUACGUGCCAGCAGCCGCGGUAAUACGUAGGGGGCAAGCGUUAUCCGGAUUUACUGGGUGUAAAGGGAGCGUAGACGGCUAAUCAAGUCAGAAGUGAAAACCCAGGGCUCAACUUUGGGACUGCUUUUGAAACUGAGUAGCUAGAGUGCAGGAGAGGG
Molecule: ribosomal RNA, 305 nt
Filed under: uncultured bacterium
Lineage: Bacteria
Description: bacterial SSU rRNA
Rfam family: Bacterial small subunit ribosomal RNA
Source: RNAcentral